Molecule: long non-coding RNA, 275 nt
Filed under: Phaseolus vulgaris (common bean)
Lineage: Eukaryota; Viridiplantae; Streptophyta; Magnoliopsida; Fabales; Fabaceae
Description: long non-coding RNA (PVUL_LNC003867)
Source: RNAcentral
GACUUAAAAACAUGAAAAAGAGAAAAAUAACAAAAAAAUGAGAUACAACAAAAUAUCUGAAUCCACAUCAAUAGACUAAGAUUAAAGCUAGCACUAAUAAAUAAGAAGCCCAACAAAGACUUCCAUUUACAUAAGAAUCGUCGACAUUCUACAGACUAUUGGACACCAAUUAAUAGUGGAUAAGACUGACAUGAGUUUCCCAAGGCAACUUUAAGGUACAAUUGGACCUCCACGAAUUCUUCCUUCUGAAUGCAGGGAAUCACUUGAAAUAGGUG